AGUGAACGCUGGCGGUAGGCCUAACACAUGCAAGUCGAACGGCAGCACAGUAAGAGCUUGCUCUUACGGGUGGCGAGUGGCGGACGGGUGAGGAAUACAUCGGAAUCUACUUUUUCGUGGGGGAUAACGUAGGGAAACUUACGCUAAUACCGCAUACGACCUACGGGUGAAAGCAGGGGAUCUUCGGACCUUGCGCGAUUGAAUGAGCCGAUGUCGGAUUAGCUAGUUGGCGGGGCAAAGGCCCACCAAGGCGCCGAUCCGUAGCUGGUCUGAGAGGAUGAUCAGCCACACUGGAACUGAGACACGGUCCAGACUCCUACGGGAGGCAGCAGUGGGGAAUAUUGGACAAUGGGCGCAAGCCUGAUCCAGCCAUACCGCGUGGGUGAAGAAGGCCUUCGGGUUGUAAAGCCCUUUUGUUGGGAAAGAAAAGCAGCAGGUUAAUACCCCGCUGUUCUGACGGUACCCAAAGAAUAAGCACCGGCUAACUUCGUG
RNAcentral lists this ribosomal RNA (492 nucleotides) under uncultured bacterium. RNAcentral describes it as "partial 16S ribosomal RNA". It matches the Rfam family "Bacterial small subunit ribosomal RNA", at positions 29 to 507 of the family's 1533-position model. The record is from RNAcentral.